CAGUCGCCGCGGUAAAACGGAGGAUCCGAGCGUUAUCCGGAAUUAUUGGGUUUAAAGGGUGCGUAGGCGGAUAGAUAAGUCAGUGGUGAAAGACGGUGGCUCAACCAUCGCAGUGCCGUUGGUACUGUUUAUCUUGAAUAUGGAUGAGGUAGGCGGAAUGUGGCAAGUAGCGGUGAAAUGCAUAGAUAUGCCACAGAACACCGAUUGCGAAGGCAGCUUACCAAGGCAAAAUUGACGCUGAGGCACGAAAGCGUGGGGAUCGAACAGGAUUAGAUACCCCCGUAGUCCCUGUCUCUUAUAC
Molecule: ribosomal RNA, 301 nt
Filed under: uncultured bacterium
Lineage: Bacteria
Description: partial 16S ribosomal RNA
Rfam family: Bacterial small subunit ribosomal RNA
Source: RNAcentral